GACGAACGCUGGCGGCGUGCUUAACACAUGCAAGUCGAACGCUGAAGCUCAGCUUUUGUUGGGUGGAUGAGUGGCGAACGGGUGAGUAACACGUGAGUAACCUGCCUCCUUCUUUGGGAUAACGCCCGGAAACGGGUGCUAAUACUGGAUAUUCACUGGUCUUCGCAUGGGGGUUGGUGGAAAGGGUUUUUCUGGUGGGGGAUGGGCUCGCGGCCUAUCAGCUUGUUGGUGUGGUGAUGGCCUACCAAGGCUUUGACGGGUAGCCGGCCUGAGAGGGUGACCGGUCACAUUGGGACUGAGAUACGGCCCAGACUCCUACGGGAGGCAGCAGUGGGGAAUAUUGCACAAUGGGCGCAAGCCUGAUGCAGCGACGCCGCGUGAGGGAUGGAGGCCUUCGGGUUGUGAACCUCUUUCGCUCAUGGUCAAGCCGCAACAAUGGUUGUGGUGAGGGUAGUGGGUAAAGAAGCGCCGGCUAACUACGUG
Molecule: ribosomal RNA, 483 nt
Filed under: uncultured bacterium
Lineage: Bacteria
Description: partial 16S ribosomal RNA
Rfam family: Bacterial small subunit ribosomal RNA
Source: RNAcentral